Molecule: ribosomal RNA, 505 nt
Filed under: uncultured bacterium
Lineage: Bacteria
Description: partial 16S ribosomal RNA
Rfam family: Bacterial small subunit ribosomal RNA
Source: RNAcentral
GACGAACGCUGGCGGCGUGCCUAAUGCAUGCAAGUCGAACGCACAGUUUAUACCGUAGCUUGCUACACCAUAGACUGUGAGUUGCGAACGGGUGAGUAACGCGUAGGUAACCUGCCUGGUAGCGGGGGAUAACUAUUGGAAACGAUAGCUAAUACCGCAUAAUAUUAAUUAUUGCAUGAUAAUUAAUUGAAAGGUGCAAUUGCACCACUACCAGAUGGACCUGCGUUGUAUUAGCUAGUAGGUGAGGUAACGGCUCACCUAGGCGACGAUACAUAGCCGACCUGAGAGGGUGAUCGGCCACACUGGGACUGAGACACGGCCCAGACUCCUACGGGAGGCAGCAGUAGGGAAUCUUCGGCAAUGGACGAAAGUCUGACCGAGCAACGCCGCGUGAGUGAAGAAGGUUUUCGGAUCGUAAAGCUCUGCUGUAAGAGAAGAACGGGUGUGAGAGUGGAAAGUUCACACUGUGACGGUAUCUUACCAGAAAGGGACGGCUAACUACGUG